UAUAUUUUGUGCAAAUUUACAGGAUUACUGGAUGCGGAACCGUAUAAUAGUAGAAUGAAAAGUACGUCGGAAGCUUUUUGUGAAGCUCUCUCUUUCAUGGACGUUAGCUGACAAUCAAACUACUGGAUUGAUGUUGGCCAAUUUGUCAGCCAUGAUGACCCAUGGGUUUAAGAGCAGUAAGCAAGACUUCAUAUUCGGACCAUGGAAAGUGACUGCAGCAAAAACCCACAUUAUGAAGUCUAAGGACAUUGAACGGUUAGGGGAGGAGAUGCACAUGCCCUCACUCCCAGAGAUGCUGUUUGGGGACAACGUUCUACGCAUUCAGCACACAGACGGCUAUGGCAUUGAGUUUAAUGCCAUCGAUGCCCUCAAGAGGGUCAACAACAUGCAGGACUCUGUGAAAGUGGCCUGUGCACAGGAAUGGCAAGAGAGCAGGGCCGAUUCUGAACACUCCAAAGAGGCUGUGAAACACUACGACUGGACAUAUACCACAGACUACAGAGGCACUUUGUUAGGAGAGGACCAGCAGAUGAGGGCGACAGAAACGUUGGAGCGCAUCGACAUGGAGAAGCUGAAGGCGCGAGAACAGAUCAUGUUCUUCGAUGACGUGCUGCUGUUUGAGGACGAGCUUCACGACCACGGCGUGUCCAUGAUCAGCGUCAAAAUAAGAGUGAUGCCCACCAGUUUCUUCCUGCUUCUGCGGUUCUUCCUGCGGGUGGAUGGAGUUCUGAUCCGGAUAAAUGACACGCGGCUCUAUCACGAGGCAAGUGUGACUGGGCUUUCCUGGGAAAUGACAAUCGAUUAACGACUGGAAAGAAUUACAUGAUCAGAGAGUUUAGCACUCGGGAAAGCAAAAUUUCAGAAUUGAAGAACGUCCCUGCUGCUCUGUAUACUGACCCCAACGAGAUCGCCCAGCACUUAACUUUGAAGUUGACCGAGUGCGAGAAGUUGGAGCUCCCUGAGACAGGCCCCCAUCCAGGGGACACAGAGGCCCCUCAGUGAUGGAGAGCAAGCUGGGUCCUGUGAUUGGACAUCAAAUUCUCUCCUGCCUGGACUUAAGAUGAGCGUCUGCCAACCAAGGCAGAGUUCAUCCUCCCUCCGCUCUACAAAUAUAUAUAUUUUUUUUUUACCAAAACACUGCACCUGCCUCCCUCCAUACACAGGAAAAACAACAGUUAAUGGAACUUCAUUUUGGCAUUUUCAAGUGGCCUCUUAUUUUUAGUGUUAUUUCACAUUUCCUCAACGUAAAUAUUUUGGUCGGAAAAUUGUGAUAAUUGCGUCUUUUCUAUUAGAACUCCACAUAAUGGGUUUGUUGAAUUCCACAGAAAGUAGUCUGAUAUUUGAAUGUUGUGCUAUUAUAGAGAUCCAUUCCUCAUGUUAUCAAAAUGUUGAAAGAGCCCAUGUGUAAAUAAAUUCACUUUUUGUAUGUGUUUAAUCUUUUACUGGACAUUGGAUCUUGAUUAGAGGAGAACUCACUGCUGAAGUCGAGGAGCCCCUCUGUUGUGCAUCUCACUUCAAUGACAUCUCCCUACCUUUCCCCCUUUUCAAACUAAGAUUUUGAUCUAGCUAGCUGUUGUAAUAGAACGGUCUCCUUACAGAACCUGCUCAGCUCUGCUUGUUUUAUUGUAUUCAAGAUAAAUGUCAACUAAUAAAAGUCUUUAGCCUUAACAUGCAAACAUUUA
RNA transcript from Oncorhynchus kisutch (coho salmon), 1682 nucleotides. It is a transcript of the gene named TIP41-like protein, with no coding region annotated. The record is from RefSeq and is a predicted model, not a curated record. The transcript has 8 exons. Lineage: Eukaryota; Metazoa; Chordata; Actinopteri; Salmoniformes; Salmonidae.